This 123-nucleotide non-coding RNA is filed under the name Kaistia sp. Its description in RNAcentral is "Glycine sequence". It matches the Rfam family "Glycine riboswitch aptamer". From Rfam's summary of the family: This family represents the bacterial glycine riboswitch. The record is from RNAcentral. Lineage: Bacteria; Pseudomonadati; Pseudomonadota; Alphaproteobacteria; Hyphomicrobiales; Kaistiaceae.
CGGCGACACUCUGGAAAGCAGCCCGAUCCGGGAUUCCGGCGAUGGGCUCACCGAAGGAGUAGCCGCGUCUGUCGCAUCGGCAGAAGCGGGAAAUCUCUCAGGUUCUCGGACAGAGGGGGCGCG